This 353-nucleotide long non-coding RNA is filed under the name Neogobius melanostomus (round goby). Its description in RNAcentral is "lncRNA (ENSNMLG00000000452.1)". The record is from RNAcentral. Lineage: Eukaryota; Metazoa; Chordata; Actinopteri; Gobiiformes; Gobiidae.
CCCCGGACCCUGGGUUAGGGUUUGUGUAGUGUUCUGUGAACAUGUGACCUCUGUUCGCAGUUCGGUGCAGUCUGAGCUGAAGGCCAUCAGCGAUAUGAAGAACAAGAGACGCCUGGUCAUCCGCAAUAUCAGCCACAGAUUAUUCUCACAGCCCCAGAAGAACAGGCCCCUGGUGUUGCAGAGAAACCUCACAGACAUCGAGGAGGAAAAAGACAAGACUCUGGACCAGGACAGUGACUGUGGCCUGAGCAUCGAUGCCAAGACGAGCCGUGCCUCAUCCCUGUACAACGAAGCCAGGGCCAAUGGUGAGUGGUGAGGCCAACAUAACCAUGCAGACCUGAACUUGUGAGGCU